Molecule: long non-coding RNA, 737 nt
Organism: Oreochromis aureus
Lineage: Eukaryota; Metazoa; Chordata; Actinopteri; Cichliformes; Cichlidae
Source: Ensembl
CUGUGUGAAGCAACCACCACUCUUAUAGCUGAUUGGCCGGAGAAGGCUCACAACAUGCUUUUGAAGCCCGGUGGUGGGCAUCUCUCCCUCUGAGUCUUCUGUUGCCUGCAGUCCAGCUUGGUCUUAUUAUAUCACCACAAAGCGAUCGACUUGUGAUGCGUCUCCCGCAGCUGGUAUGUUGAAGAAUCAUCUCAGAGGAUGAAACUUUAAAAAAAUAAAUAAUCCCAGACCAACAGAGAGAAGAGGAAACAGACGAGGUAACAGAAAGUGGAGUUUAGAGAAGCUGAGAGGAAACUGAGCUGUGCAGAAAAAAAGGAGAAAAGGAAUCAGUGAAACUAAAAACAGAACGGGACGCUUUGUCGAUGAGCUCAGUCAAUAGGAAAACAAAUGAAGCACCAAUCUGUUGGAUCUUUAGGAAAGAUGGUCCCUUAUCUGCACUGCAGGGGGAUUAGUCUACAUGACAACAAGCCGCACUGACAGCAGGUUAAUAAAGACGGCCACUUCGUGGUUUGGAAAGAAAAGCAGAACGAAUCGACGGAAGGAGCAAAGAGGGAGAGGCUGACGUGAUGGAGGUGCAUCAUGUUGAUUAACCUAAUCCAACGUGGACACUAACGGAGCCAGGAGAGGAUUAGUCCACACAGAGAGUCAUUUCAGCGCUCGUGUCUAGUGGUGUGAGGGAGUUUUGGGCAUGCUGAAGAGUUUACACUUCAAACUUUGAGACUGCAGCAUGCGGCACG